CAUUUUUUGAAAAAAGUUUCCCCCACUGAAUUGCCUCUGUACCAUUGUGAAUCAGAAGUCCAUAUAUGUGUGGGUCUAUUUCUAGAUGCUGUUCCAUUGAUCUGUCUGUCUGUCUUGAUGCCAUUAAGGCACUGCCUUUAUUAUUGUAGUUAUCUAAUAAGUGUUGAAAUCUAGUAAGCGUUGAAGUCAUAUAGUGUUAGUUCUCUACCUUUGUUCUUUGUCAGGGUGUUUUGGCCAUUAGAGGUCUUUUGCAUUUGCAUAUGAAUUUUAGAAUCAGUUUUUCAGUUUCUAUAAAACACCUCCUGGGAGUUUGAUUGGGAUUGCAUUGAAUAUAAUGAUCAAUUUAUGGAGAACUGACAACUAUAUAGAGUCUUUUGACCCAUGGACAUGGUAGAUCUCCCCAUUUAUUUAGAUAUUAAUUUCCUUCAGCAAUGUUUUGUAAUUUUUACUGUGCAGAUCUUUCACACUUUUCCCCGGAUGCAUCUAAAAAUUUUAUCUUUUUCAUGCAUAAGUACUGAAUAACUUAUGAUACUUGUAAUAAUAAACAGUGAAUUUCUAGUUUUUGCUGACAUAUAGGAAUAUAAUUGGUUUUUAUAUAUUAACCGCAUAUCCUGCAACCUGGCACAACUCCCUUAUUAGUUCUAGUAACAUUUUAUAGAUUCCAUAGGAUUUUCUAACAUUGAGAAUCAUGUUUGCAAAUAACAGUUUUACUUCUUCCUUUCUAAUUCUGGAUGCUUUUUUGUUUUUUGCCUUAUUGUAGUGGCAGUGGGUGGGGAUGGUGUGUUUUUAGGGAGAGCUCAUCUCUCUGGCAUUGAUCAGGAGAGAGACAUUCAGCUUCAGAGACUUUAAUUUUGCUGUUAUGUGAACUGACUCACAGUUGCAAAGUCCAAAGUUUCCCGUAUCUUUUGGUUCACUUUGCUCUUUAGCUUCCUCUAAGCAGCACUGCCUAUAGAUUGUUUCUGUCGAAGCUGUUCUGGAAAAGAAUGGGCCUCUUGUAGCAUGGUCCCAAUUUUCUCCUCAGACUGCUCAUGAUUCCUGUCAUGGUUCCAACCUGGGGAUUUUAGGCACUUUGUCUUGCCUACCAAAACUCUCAUCUCUUCUCCCUGCACCAUAAUACCAAAUGGAGGAGUUACAUGUCCAAUCUUGUUCCUUCUAGUUAGUUCAAGUUAGAACUAAUUGGAAUAACUGUCUGAUACUCUUUAGAGUUUGUGGUGUAUAAAUGUGUACAUGUAUGUACACCCAUAUAUGUGUGUCCAUUUCUCUAGAUUCACGGUAGAUACUCUUUUUGAUUUAGAGAAGGGGCAGUAUGCAAAUAUAUGUUCUAAUGCUAUUAUUCUUGGAAAUCUAAUUCAUCUAUUUAAAACAAUUGCUCUUCAUAAAUGUUACAAUAAAAGUAUUAUGAAAAGGAC
Molecule: long non-coding RNA, 1409 nt
Filed under: Macaca fascicularis (crab-eating macaque)
Lineage: Eukaryota; Metazoa; Chordata; Mammalia; Primates; Cercopithecidae
Description: lncRNA (ENSMFAG00000050229.1)
Source: RNAcentral